Molecule: non-coding RNA, 399 nt
Organism: Pelobates cultripes (western spadefoot toad)
Lineage: Eukaryota; Metazoa; Chordata; Amphibia; Anura; Pelobatidae
Source: the annotation of a GenBank genome assembly
UCACCAAGGCUAGGGUAUUCCCAAUUUUAAUACCAGACAAUACAAGAUAUACAAAAGGUGGUGCCACGUGAUGACGAGGACGAAAGUAGGAGGUCUGGAACGUGGAUUCCCACUAACAAUCCACCGCCAACUGUAUAUCCAAAAUGGAGCCAUCCAAAGAGAAAGCCAACGAAGAGGCAGCCCUAAGUACCGAAUGGGCCUCGAAGGAAGCUUCAACAACCACCGAUGGCAAAAGCAAACUGAUCCAACUAGCUACCGUAGUCGACGAGACAGGUCAAUGAGGAGGAACAUAAGAGAUAAGAGCAAAGUGGAGAGAGACUAGGUGUGCCGAAGCACCGAAAAGGAAACCCCAUUCUGUGGAGAAGCUAAUCAAGUGGGAAUUGACAGCCUGAAUGUCUG